Cinara cedri is the source of this 896-nucleotide non-coding RNA. NCBI's taxonomy places the organism in Eukaryota, Metazoa, Arthropoda, Insecta, Hemiptera, Aphididae. The record is from the annotation of a GenBank genome assembly.
UCUUUUGACUUAUUGAAAUUUUAUCUUUUAAAGAGGUAUUACAAACCCCCCCUCCCCAAGUUAUUAUGCCAUAUUGGAUUGAUGAUUGAGCCAUUGUAUAAUAUGCUAUUAUAAUAAAGUUUUUGUUUAAUAAGUUUUCAAAAUGAAUGUUCCAUGUUAAAUUUUGAUCAAUUGUAAUGCCGAGAUAAUUAGAGAAAGCUUGUUUAAAUAAUUUAGGGCAGGUGCACGUUGUGGAGUUGCAAUUUAAUUGAUUAUGUAGUGAUUUCACUUUUUUGUAGUGUGGUGUAGUUCUUAUACCAUUGCUGAAAUCAACAAAUUUGGAUUUAUCAUAAUUUAUUAACUGAAAACCACUUAUCUAUUAUUAAAAUGUCAGCUUCAGAUUUAUUCCAAACCAUAUCCUAGGUAGAAUCUGAGACUAUGUGGGCCGUAUCGUUAGCAUAUGAAUGCAUUUUACCAUUGAUAUUAAGCUUGCUUAAAGCAGCUAUGUACAUUGUGUAUAAAAUUGGUGAGAGCUGUACCUUAAGGGACUCCAUUAUUGAUUUGGCCUAUUUCGCUUACUGUGUUACCUAAUCUGACCUGUUGUGUUCUUUGUUCUAGGUAUGACUUUGUAAACUUAGGUAAAAAUUUGUAAUGCUGUCCCAGCAAUGCCAAAACAUUUUAAACCAUUACUAAAAUAGAGUGAGAUAUACUAUCAAAGGCUUUAUUGAGGUCUAAGAAUAUGCCAAUUAUCUUUUUACGUUUGUCUAAGUUAUAAUAGAUUUCAUUCAUAAGAUGAACCAAGGCCUUCAGUACCUAAACUUUUUUUAAUACUGAAUUGAGAAGCAGAGAGUAUAUUAUUUUCUUCUAAGUAAUUCAGUAGUCUUGUUUAAAUUACUUUUUCAAAUAUCUUAAAAAAU